AUGAUCUCCACGUCGCGAGGCCGACUGGGAAGGCCCGCAGUUCUCCCCUCGCUCUGCAGCCGCCCCAGAACAGACACCGCUGUCCCCGAGCCCUCUGGGAAGUGGAGUCCUUCCGCCGGGACCCCCGACCCGGCGCGGUCGCCUCCAAGUGCGCAGAUGCGACUCCAGACAGAGCCUCGGGCUCGAGCCUUUUGUCUCCCCGCAGCUCGGUGGGUCCAGAAGGCGACGGUGUCCGCCUCCCCCGCCCCUCCCAGAGCGCAGCCCGGAGGGGAUCCAGCCCUGGAGCCGGAGCCAGGUCGGCCACGAGUCCGUAGUGAAUUAGGAGGAAGUCCUAGCAAUAACAAGAGGACAAGGAGAAGCUGAUCAUGGAUUAUCUGACCAUUGAAGUUGAGGAAAAUGGUAAGAAUUACGCAAAUCAACGUGGAGUUGAAAGUGGGGACAAGCAGAGGAAAUACCCUCCAUAAGAAUAAAAAGGUUAGGUGCCCCUGCAUGAUGGGAAAGGGAAACAGACACAUGUCAGGAGAAGACCCCAAAGUAGAGAAACUCAGUAAGCCAUCAUGUUUGGAAAUCACUAAGAAGGCUCCUUGUCAGACAUUCCCCUCUCUCAUCUUCCUCUUUCAGCGCUUCUGUGCUCAUACACAUUCCCUCUGAUGCUGUGGCAGGGAGAAUAUUCCACAGUGCUUGUUUUUGUGGUAAAGAACAGGUCACACUUUUCCACUCCCAUAGGAGUGUACCAAAAUAUUGACAUACUAUGUGUGCAUUUAGCUUUUUGGUCAAAGUGCUUUCGUGUUAUUAUCUUCCUCUGUCCUUAUCUGAUCCUUUUGAGUUAAGUAGAGUAGGUCUUGUGUAUAUAAUUUCUCUGGCUUGUGCUAGCUUUUGUCCUUGUGAAUUUGUAAGUGGGAAGGUAGAGUUUAUCCCCUUCAUGGCUUUACUUCUGCUUCUUCCAGCUAUGACUAUAGAAGAUGUUUCUUUGUCCCAAGAACAGAGCGCAGAAGAAAUGGAACCUACUGGAGAGCUUCUUCCUGUUGAGUUCCAGGCAAGUUUGAGUUUCAUUUCCCUCCUGUGAAAUCUCAGUUUGGUGUUCAGAGUGUGUCCUCAUUUCUUCCUUUCGUCUCACUUCGGAGGUUCAUGGAAAUCUCAUCUGGAGAGCUGAACCAAAGUAAUUUUUCCUUGAAGACUUGAAGCUCUAGGAGGAGCUCAGGCUGGAGUUUAAAUUUGGGAGGAACC
Molecule: long non-coding RNA, 1227 nt
Filed under: Capra hircus (goat)
Lineage: Eukaryota; Metazoa; Chordata; Mammalia; Artiodactyla; Bovidae
Description: lncRNA (ENSCHIG00000005287.1)
Source: RNAcentral